Molecule: ribosomal RNA, 253 nt
Filed under: uncultured bacterium
Lineage: Bacteria
Description: partial 16S ribosomal RNA
Rfam family: Bacterial small subunit ribosomal RNA
Source: RNAcentral
UACGUAGGGGGCUAGCGUUGUCCGGAUUUAUUGGGCGUAAAGAGCGUGUAGGCGGCCAGGUAGGUCUGCUGUGAAAACUCGAGGCUCAACCUCGAGACGUCGGCGGAAACCAUCUGGCUAGAGUCCGGAAGAGGAGAGUGGAAUUCCUGGUGUAGCGGUGAAAUGCGCAGAUAUCAGGAAGAACACCCGUAGCGAAGGCGGCACUCUGGGCCGAUACUGACACUGAGGAGCGAAAGCGUGGGGAGCGAACAGG